Molecule: ribosomal RNA, 468 nt
Filed under: uncultured bacterium
Lineage: Bacteria
Description: partial 16S ribosomal RNA
Rfam family: Bacterial small subunit ribosomal RNA
Source: RNAcentral
GACGAACGCUGGCGGCGGGCUUAACACAUGCAAGUCGAACGGCAAGGCACUGCUUUUGUGCGGUGACCGAGUGGCGAACGGGUAAGUAACACGUGUGUAACCUGCUCUAGACUUUGGGAGAACUUCAGGUAACGGGGGUUACUACCAUAUAGGAGCUCCCCCUGCAUGGAGGGGGGUGGAACGUUUCGGCGGUUGUGGAUGGAUGCGCGGGUGAUCAGCUAGUUGGUGGGGGAGUGGUAUACCAAGGCUUUGACGGGUCGGCGGCCUGUGUGGGGGGCCGGCGACAAUAGGACUACGGUACGGACCAGACUCCAACGGUGGACAGCAGGGGGGAAUAUGGCACAAUGGGCGGAAGCCUGAUGCAGCAACGCCGCGUGCGGAAUGACGGUCUUUUGGUUGUGAAACGCUUUCGGCUGAGACGACGCUUGAGUGACGGUAACGAGUAAAGAAGCACCGGCUAACUACGUG